This 73-nucleotide transfer RNA is filed under the name Stentor coeruleus. It matches the Rfam family "tRNA". Rfam says of the family: Transfer RNA (tRNA) molecules are approximately 80 nucleotides in length. Their secondary structure includes four short double-helical elements and three loops (D, anti-codon, and T loops). The record is from Rfam by way of RNAcentral. Lineage: Eukaryota; Ciliophora; Heterotrichea; Heterotrichida; Stentoridae.
AGUCCCAUAGCUCAGUGGUUAGAGCGUCGUGCCGAUGACACGUAGGUCCUGAGUUCGAUUCUCAGUGGGACUA